Molecule: long non-coding RNA, 274 nt
Filed under: Nicotiana benthamiana
Lineage: Eukaryota; Viridiplantae; Streptophyta; Magnoliopsida; Solanales; Solanaceae
Description: long non-coding RNA (NBEN_LNC001540)
Source: RNAcentral
AAGGAGGCAAAUUGUAUCGUUUUCUCAUCUGAAUCCUCCAAAAGCCACCAUAUAGUAACCCAAAUAGACAAAGGAAAAUUCCAGUAAGUCCUAACGCCCCCCUGACACUAUCAUUGUCAAUAUUAACAGCAGCCAAAUUGAAGAUCCAGAAAGGAGCCAUACAAAAGAGAAGAAAAGUUGCAAUAUGAACAUACAUGUUUCCAAACCCAAGUCUCUCCAUAUUCCAACCAAAAACACAAAAACUGCAGAACAGAGAGAGAUAUGCCAAAGAAAU